UAUUCUCAAUUCUCUCAGUUUUUGCUGAGAUGAUAUUGGACUUGGAGGUUAUUGCUGGCAUCCUUGUGAAACCAGCUCCUCUUAAAUGCAUCAGUGUGAAUAUUCACUUCAUAUUCAGUGUGAUAAUUAUCUACGCUGUGUGUGAGUGAUGCAAUUUCAUGCUUCUAACUGUCGCAAGACACUACUUUGAC
RNAcentral lists this unclassified non-coding RNA (191 nucleotides) under uncultured Rigidoporus. RNAcentral describes it as "sequence contains ITS2". The record is from RNAcentral. Lineage: Eukaryota; Fungi; Basidiomycota; Agaricomycetes; Polyporales; Meripilaceae.